Long non-coding RNA from Brienomyrus brachyistius, 385 nucleotides. RefSeq lists it as uncharacterized. The record is from RefSeq and is a predicted model, not a curated record. NCBI's taxonomy places the organism in Eukaryota, Metazoa, Chordata, Actinopteri, Osteoglossiformes, Mormyridae. The transcript has 3 exons.
UGUGUCCCUCUCUGCUUCCUCCCUAACCGCUACAGAUUUGACGCAGUCGGCAGGAUUUCACCAGUAUAUGGUGGAGAUGUGACUCCCUGAUCGCUCCCUGGGAAGGUUAGCUAAGGUGGAUGAAAAGAUACAACCAAGUUUGUGUCGUGAUUUACGAAGACCUACCCCUGGGAAAGUGGGAAAAGCGCUGUCUCAGCAGGCGACUAUAGCUGCAAUGUUUAGAGUGGUGGGAGGACCGUUUGGAGCGGCAACCUCCUGGACCAACACGGAAACGGAUGGCGACAUAGACACCUUGGAUACGCUCCUGCCCAUAGCUGAAGUUCGGCCGUACCGCCUGUGAAUACUCCAUGUUGGAAACGCUGCAGCCUGCCUGCCGCCCACGACA